CACACCGCCCGUCACACCAUGGGAGUUGGUUUUACCCGAAGGCGCUGUGCUAACCGCAAGGAGGCAGGCGACCACGGUAGGGUCAGCGACUGGGGUGAAGUCGUAACAAGGUAGCCGUAGGGGAACCUGCGGCUGGAUCACCUCCUU
This 147-nucleotide ribosomal RNA is filed under the name Brucella intermedia. RNAcentral's name for it is "Ochrobactrum intermedium partial 16S ribosomal RNA". It matches the Rfam family "Bacterial small subunit ribosomal RNA", at positions 1386 to 1532 of the family's 1533-position model. The record is from RNAcentral. Lineage: Bacteria; Pseudomonadati; Pseudomonadota; Alphaproteobacteria; Hyphomicrobiales; Brucellaceae.